GAGUUUGAUCUUGGCUCAGAGCGAACGCUGGCGGCAGGCCUAAUACAUGCAAGUCGAACGGCUCUUCGGAGCAGUGGCGGACGGGUGAGUAACGCGUGGGAACGUGCCCUUUGGUUCGGAACAACACAGGGAAACUUGUGCUAAUACCGAAUGUGCCCUUCGGGGAAAGAUUUAUCGCCAUUGGAGCGGCCCGCGUUGGAUUAGCUAGUUGGUGGGGUAAUGGCCCACCAAGGCUACGAUCCAUAGCUGGUCUGAGAGGAUGAUCAGCCACACUGGGACUGAGACACGGCCCAGACUCCUACGGGAGGCAGCAGUAGGGAAUCUUGCGCAAUGGGCGAAAGCCUGACGCAGCCAUGCCGCGUGAAUGAUGAAGGUCUUAGGAUUGUAAAAUUCUUUCACCGGGGAAGAUAAUGACGGUACCCGGAGAAGAAGCCCCGGCUAACUUCGUGCCAGCCGCCGCCGU
RNAcentral lists this ribosomal RNA (463 nucleotides) under uncultured Alphaproteobacteria bacterium. RNAcentral's name for it is "bacterial SSU rRNA". It matches the Rfam family "Bacterial small subunit ribosomal RNA", at positions 9 to 521 of the family's 1533-position model. The record is from RNAcentral. Lineage: Bacteria; Pseudomonadati; Pseudomonadota; Alphaproteobacteria.